CCCCUACGGGAGGCAGCAGUGGGGAAUAUUGCGCAAUGGGGGGAACCCUGACGCAGCCAUGCCGCGUGAAUGAAGAAGGCCUUCGGGUUGUAAAGUUCUUUCGGUAUUGAGGAAGGUUGAUGUGUUAAUAGUACAUCAAAUUGACGUUAAAUACAGAAGAAGCACCGGCUAACUCCGUGCCAGCAGCCGCGGUAAUGGGG
This 200-nucleotide ribosomal RNA is filed under the name uncultured bacterium. RNAcentral's name for it is "partial 16S ribosomal RNA". It matches the Rfam family "Bacterial small subunit ribosomal RNA", at positions 336 to 528 of the family's 1533-position model. The record is from RNAcentral.